This 229-nucleotide ribosomal RNA is filed under the name uncultured bacterium. Its description in RNAcentral is "partial 16S ribosomal RNA". It matches the Rfam family "Bacterial small subunit ribosomal RNA", at positions 568 to 796 of the family's 1533-position model. The record is from RNAcentral.
UGCGUAGGCGGGCUAAUAAGUCAGUGGUGAAAUCUCUCGGCUCAACCGGGAAACUGCCAUUGAUACUGUUAGUCUUGAGUUCGGUUGAGGUAGGCGGAAUGUGUAAUGUAGCGGUGAAAUGCUUAGAUAUUACACAGAACUCCAAUUGCGUAGGCAGCUUACUAGACCGACACUGACGCUGAGGCACGAAAGCGUGGGGAGCGAACAGGAUUAGAUACCCUGGUAGUCC